Molecule: long non-coding RNA, 2484 nt
Organism: Alexandromys fortis (reed vole)
Lineage: Eukaryota; Metazoa; Chordata; Mammalia; Rodentia; Cricetidae
Exons: 3
Source: RefSeq, a predicted model, not a curated record
ACAUCAUCUGUGUCUUUGUGUUUCCGUGCCAGCUGAAUUCAGGUUCUGUACUUUCGGUUUUGCAGUCGCUUGCGUCUCAGGAGGAGAAGGAGGGAGUGAUCGGCAGACUGCUAGGAGAUCACUGACUGCCGCCCUGGGAGACAUCAAGGGAGAGAAUCCCACCAGCCUGACAGGAUUGGAGGAGUCUUUGAUGUUUCCCCACCAACCCACCCGGGAUGACUGUCGGCAGCUUUUACAGGUCCUCUUCUGUAACAUGAGGGCCGGGCUCGUUGGGGUUUCAGUCCUGCCCAGUUCCCACAGCUGGCAAGUCCCAAAGAAUAUCACACAGAGGUCUCCAGAAGAUUAUAAACUGAUUGGCCCAUUAGCUCAGGCUUUGUAUUAGCUCUUAUAACUUAUAUUAACCCAUUAUUCUUAACUAUGUUAGCCACAUGACUUGGUACCUUUUUCAGUGGGGCAGGUCACAUCCUGCUUCUUCAGUGAGCUGGGAAGGACUGGGGAAGAGCUUCCUUCUUCCCAGAGUACUUCUGUUCUCAUUGCCCCACCUCUACUUCCUGUCUGGUUGUCCCACCUAUACUUCCUGCCUGGCCAAUCAGCGUUUAUUUAAAACAUGAUUAACAGAAUACAGACAAUUCUCCCACACCACUCUUCACUUCUGAAGAGAAAGAGAGGAUCCUGUUGGAGGCCUUGAAAAACGUACCCAGAGCAAAUGGGGCACCAACCAAUCUUCCAAAUGAAACAGAUGUGGGGAUUCCCCUUAACCGACCUGGUUGCGACUUCAAUAUGGCAGCAGGUAGGGUGCUGCUCACGGUCUAUUUUCUUUUGUUGACCACGCUCCCCCUGCUGUCCUCAAUCCCACUACCCUACUGCCCGAGGCUGAUUGACACCUCAUCUACCCAUCACUGCACUGACAUUCUGGCAGAAGAAGCUGGUACCUGAAAUGAUCUGAAGGAUCAGCCUUGGCCUGGGAGUCCGAGCUGGUAUACUGACGGCAGCAGUUUCGUGGUUGAAGGUAAGCGGAAGGCGGGGGCAGCAGUGGUGGAUGAGAAGCAAGUGAACUGGGCCAGUAGCCUCCCUUAAGGGACAUCGGCCCUGAAAACCAAACUUGUGGCUUUGAUACCAGCUCUACGGAUGGCAGAGGGGAAGUCUAUCAACAUCUACACUGACAGCAGGUGUACAUCUGCCACUGCCCAUAUACACGGGGCAAUAUACAGACAGAGAGGACUGUUAACAUCUGCAGGAAAAGACAUAAAAAAUAAGAAAUUUUGAGCCUCCUCGAGGCCAUACAUUUGCCAAGGAAGGUAGCCAUCAUACAUUGUCCGGGACACCAAAAAGCCCGAGAUGCUGUGGCUAAAGGAAAUCAGAUGGCAGACCUAACCAUGAAACAGGCAGCCCAAGGAGCAAUAAUCCUGGCAGUCAAAGAGCCUAAAGAUUAUCAUGAUAUCGGUGAAACCAACGUUAGAUACACCCCCAGGACCAUCAAGUUAUGGGGAAAUGAGGACCGGUAAAGGAAACCCAUACGGGGCAGUAGAGACAGAAGGAGGAAAGCUAGUCCUCCCACGAAAGAACAACACAAGUAUGUUACCAACUUACAUUACCUGACCCCCUUGGGGACCAAGAAACUAAAGAUGUGGUUAGGUCCUCCGACUAAUAUGUUAUGGGACUCUCUGACUUGGCAAAAGAAGUAGUUAAAGCUGCAAGGCCUGUGCUAUGACUAAUGCAGGACACUCCAUAUAUACUCCUGGGAAGAGGCUCAGGGGCGACCAACCUGGGGCCUACUGGGAAGUAGAUUUUACAGAAAUUAAGUCAGCCAGGUAUGGUAACAACUACUUAUUAGUUUUUAUAGAUACUUUUUCAGGCUGGGCAGAAAGCUUUUCCUACCAGGACUGAGAUGGCCAAUGUGUAGCUAAGAAGAUCAUAGAAGAAAUUUUUAAGAGGUUUGGGAUACCCAAGGUAAUCGGGUCUGAUAAUGAACCUGCCUUUUGUUGCCCAGGUAAGUCAGGAACUGGCCACCCAACUGGGGAUCGUUGGAAAUUGUGCUUACUGACCCCAGAGCUCAGGUCAAAUAGAAAGAAAGAAUAGAACCCUAAAAGAGAUACUGACAAUAUCAGCAGGAAUGACUGGAUACCCCUCCUUCCCUUUGCCCUGUUCUGGGUUCGGAACACCCCAGGGCGAUUUAAACUUACCCCUUAUAAGAUCCUAUGUGGGGGACCGCCACCACUCACUGAGUUGGGUGAAGUGUAUAAUCCUGAUGCUAUUCUUUCUAGACCUUUAUUUGCCAGCCUAAAGGCCCUUGAAGUGGUGAGACACCAGAUCUGGGAACAACUGAAAGAAGUAUGCAUCUCUGCCUGGAUCCAAACCUCCCAUGUGAAGCAAGCUCCUGAACUACCCAAAUUACAGUAUCGGGGCUUUUAACACCACCACCAGUCAGGAUGCUUGUGUUUAGGAGGCUAAUCAUAGGCUGACUCUUUUUUUUUUUUUUUUUUU